AAACUGCAGCAGCUCUAUUACAUUGAAACAGAAGGAUGAUGGGAGGGAAAUUCCUUUGGGUUCUUUGCUUGCCUAUCAAGAGGACAUCAGUCAAAAAUGCCAGUCUGAGGAGUUUGAAUUUAAUCCUGUGAUUCAGUGAUCCCAAAGGCGCUGUGUCUUCUCAAAAGAUGCAAAAGAUGGUAUGCAUCUUGUUCCUCUUUCAGACACAGGUGAAAAUUGAAGUUUCUAGAAACUGGAGUUUCCUUCUCAUCUUGUUGGCAUCUUCCCCUGGGGAGAGGGGUAAUACCUCCACAGGAACCUAGAGGUGAUGGUGUCCAGUAGCCAUGAGAUACCUGCUGCCCAGAAUGGGUUUCUAAAGGCUAUUAAAA
Long non-coding RNA from Homo sapiens (human), 368 nucleotides. RefSeq lists it as uncharacterized. The record is from RefSeq and is a predicted model, not a curated record. NCBI's taxonomy places the organism in Eukaryota, Metazoa, Chordata, Mammalia, Primates, Hominidae. The transcript has 4 exons.